This 546-nucleotide ribosomal RNA is filed under the name Salmonella enterica subsp. enterica serovar Muenchen. Its description in RNAcentral is "partial 23S ribosomal RNA". It matches the Rfam family "Bacterial large subunit ribosomal RNA", at positions 890 to 1348 of the family's 2925-position model. Lineage: Bacteria; Pseudomonadati; Pseudomonadota; Gammaproteobacteria; Enterobacterales; Enterobacteriaceae. RNAcentral also lists the same sequence under 1 other name. The record is from RNAcentral.
UCAUCUCCGGGGGUAGAGCACUGUUUCGGCUAGGGGGCCAUCCCGGCUUACCAACCCGAUGCAAACUGCGAAUACCGGAGAAUGUUAUCACGGGAGACACACGGCGGGUGCUAACGUCCGUCGUGAAGAGGGAAACAACCCAGACCGCCAGCUAAGGUCCCAAAGUCAUGGUUAAGUGGGAAACGAUGUGGGAAGGCCCAGACAGCCAGGAUGUUGGCUUAGAAGCAGCCAUCAUUUAAAGAAAGCGUAAUAGCUCACUGGUCGAGUCGGCCUGCGCGGAAGAUGUAACGGGGCUAAACCAUGCACCGAAGCUGCGGCAGCGAACGUAUCACCCAAGACAACUUUGCGGAGUUGACGAUUGACGGAGCGAAGCGACGUCAAAGCGUUCAUUAAAGUCGAGUUGGCUUAGGGAUACGUUCGUUGGGUAGGGGAGCGUUCUGUAAGCCUGUGAAGGUGGCCUGUGAGGGUUGCUGGAGGUAUCAGAAGUGCGAAUGCUGACAUAAGUAACGAUAAAGCGGGUGAAAAGCCCGCUCGCCGGAAGACCAA